GAAAAGAAUGUCAGCGUACCUCCGGAACAUGUUACACAGCAUUUCUGUGGUACGAUAGCGACCACUCUCUUUCUCAACGAGUUCAAACGUGCGUGCCAGAUGCAAGUAUGGUGCUAGUUCAUCGGCUUUCCAGCAAGCUAGCACGAAAAGAAAAGGAGAGACAACUAAGCUUAGACAUAAGAUAAUAGAAAACUAUACCGUGGUGGACAGGAUCAUAGCUGCUGAGUGGUAAUGCUACGUAUGUUGCUCUAGAGCUUUCUUUGGGUUGUGAUAAUCGACCACUUGAAACGUUUCCAUCCAGCCUGCCUUCGCUCAUGUCAUCUAUUGUUUCCACCGCCACUGCUGUCGAAGGAUCUUGCAAGUUCUCCUCGUUACAAUCUUUCAAUGUUAUAGCUGGUACCUCUGAGAUGUUGGCGGAAUUGAAAUGCAAGUCUAGUGCUGCCGCGAUAUCCCCGCCUCCCUUUUCUAGUAAAGCCAACGCUGAAGGUUCAGACACCUCUAACAUGGUGACUAGCUGCUUCACCUUUUGAUCAGUUGUCGUUCCAGAGCUCCUACUUUCUGUUGCUUCGGACGACGCGGAUUCUUUCUUGAAGAACGAAAGAAGAGACCUUUGGCCGCUGAUUAAUGAGUUCUUCGUCUUACUUUUAGAUCCUCUAGACUUGUUUGUAGUUGGAACUUUCGUUGGUCUACCGGGAGGCGGUGUUGCUGGAGGAUGCUUCGGCCCUUUAGCACUCUGAGAACUACAGGAUCUCAGAGUGAUCGUUGUGCCUGUGUCCUUCCGUUCUGGUGAAGCUUGCUGUUUGCAAAAAAGAGCCACCGCGGCAUUAAGGUCUCCCGAUGCUUCCAAGAGCAGCUUCUCAAUCUGUGUAUCCGAGACCGACUCAGGCAGGACGCUCUUUAGCUGCAUUUUCGUCUCGAUAUUCUCGUUGCUUAUAUCGUUGCUUCCAUCGUUCUGCUCAAAAUCUUCCCUGCUCCUCCUCCUGGCAUUACGUCCAAAGGCAGUCAGAUGCUCGCUGCAAUCCUCGUUUUCUACCUCCGGUGUUUUAUUCGUCGCUUUCCUGUUAAAGCCUUUAAGGAACUUCCUCUUGCUUCCAGUCUCGUCCACGAGAUUACGAAAGUGUUUCUUCAUAGCGUCCGCGGUCUUGCUGUCCAUGCCUUUGUCAUCAAGCCCGACCGUCGGAAAGACUUCUCUUGGCCUUAAGAAUCCCACGUACUCCCUCAGCUCUUCAUAGUUAGAAUGCUCGCUGUAUGGCACCAGAUGAAUUUCCAGUGAGCCCCUUUUCCUCACUGGAAAAGUUGCCUCGUGCGUCCAGCCCGUUGGAACGAAACCAACCACACGAUCAACCUUGUUUUCCAGGCACAACAUCUCCAUAUUGCUGAAGUUGGGACGGAAGAACGGCCAAGUCUCCCCAAGAACAUUCCAGCCUACGACAUGCACGGAGCUCCGUGCUUGAUCGGUCGUGAAGCAAAGCAUUGCCUGCUCUCCCAAAUCCAAGCACUUGAGCAACGCGAGCUUCUUCUCGUUCACGUAAAUCAUGCACUUGCACCUCUCAGCCACGGCCAACAAAAUCUUCUCCUUCCCAAUCACGUACGUGGAUAUCAGGAACAGCGUGCGCUGCUGGCUUCUCUCCUCUUGCAGCAUCAUCCUCUCGAUGGUCUCUGCGAUAUAGCUGAUUGACUCUUCCUGUGCUGGAAACACGAACUUUGGAUUGCAGUAAGUGGUGUCCAGGAACACGGCAUCGGCUCCAACAAAGUUGCAAAGCGAGGCAUCCUCCUUCAUCACCGGCGUAAACCUCAUAUCCCCCGUAUGAACAAACCGAGUUCCGUGCUCGGGGACCUCCACCAAGAACUGCACAGCCCCGGGGCAAUGAUUCGCAUCCACCAGCGUCACUUGGCACUCGUCAAUCCAGAUCACAGAGUUCAUCGCAAGCUCCACCACGAAAUCCCGGCGAACACCCAGCGCCCCCACCACCAAGUGCCCGGUCACCUGCGAGCAGAAGAUCAUCCCCUUGUCCCACGACGGCGCCAGCCCGGCGUAGUGAUCGCCGUGGAAGUGCGUGAGGAAAUACGCCCUGGACCAGUCCCCAGCACACUGCGCCCCGAGUCCAUCCACCACGAAUCGAGUACCUGGAAUGCGCUUGUGGAAGGGAAAAUCCGAUGGAAAUCUCGAAUAGCUGUGGCCGCCGCCGCCGCUGGCGCCAUCGCCGCUGGCGCUCGCGCGGCGCCAGAGAUCGAGCGAGGAGAGCGCUACCAUAGACGUCGCUAGGGCAACUUCAUAAACCCUAACUUUUGAAAGUUUCCCGCCAUUAGGGUAACUCUAUAAGUUUUGAGUCAGUUUAGUGUUUGAAAAAGUUCUACAAUCGAUUGCGAAGCUCGCGAUGGUGCUUCACGAGAUUGAUCUUGCCAUCCAGGAAAACGUCCCGCGAGAUGGUGCCGGAGCUAUGGUACCCACCCACACCGUCGAAGACGAUGAGGUACCUCAGCGCGACACUCUUCUCGUGCUCCUUUGGGAUGACAUAGUAAUGGCUGAGGCUCACCGGCGCGAACACCUCAAUCACCCCAACGCACGACGUCCCAGUGCCAAAUCUCCCAUACCCAGCCCCACUCCCGCCGACGCUGCAGUAGCCCCGGGACAUCGCGAGUGUAGUGGCUGCAUAGAUUCCCAUCCCGGACGCCGCCCCGGUCGACAUGUAGCGCGUGUUGCUCAUGGAUCGCACGCCGUUGCGGAGAAUCGAGUACCAGUUAUAAGUCGGGCUGCCGUGAAACGCAAAGAACGAGGCCGUGGAGGAGUCUAGAACCGCCUCCUGCUCGGGCGUGUCGUAGAGCACCACAAAUUGGUCCGAGCACGCAAUGGGCAGCCGCUCCUGUUCGCCCAGAUGCCGCAAGCUCAGCCGGUCCGUGGCGAGGCAGAAGCGCAGGAGCUUGAGCGGGAGCCUCUCCGGUUUGCCAGCCGCCGCGCACCGCUGCCACUCCUCCUCCAGCAGCGCCACCACCUCGGCCUCGCUCGAGCACUGCGCCAGGCGCUCCACUGGCGGCACCGUCUCGAGCGCCUGGGACACCAGCCCGACCAUCUUGUUGGCGAAGUUGGGGGACUUGUUCAUGGAUCCAAACCAGCCGUUGCUCUCCCGUAGCUCCCUCUCCUUGAGCAUGAAGCUCGGGAAUGGCUCCAGCACGUCCCGGGUCGUGGACAGCGACGCGAACUUCAUGAACGCCACCUCCAGCUCCACCACCGCCGGGCUCGCGCGCACGGCUUCCAGGACGUUGGAUCCCAGCCCGGUCUCCUGGCACGUAAACUGGCACAGAUCGUUGCUGCACGGCUGGACCUUGAACGUCGAGGCCGGGAGGAGCCUGUAGCAGAACGGGCAGCUCUCCCACAGCAUAUCCAGCUGCAGCGCCAUGAAGGAGACGAGGCCGAGCACCGGGUUCUCGCGCGCCGCCGCCUGCUGGAGCUGGCAGCUCAUGAUAUAGUUGCUCCACUCGCCUCGGCUGCCCAGGCAGUAGAAGUCACAGAACACUCUCACCAGGUCGGGGAGCAUCGUCGAGAGCGCGUACGAGGCCUUCUCCGCCUUGAGCUCGCCGCCCUGCGUCACCUCUACGCUCCGAGGAUAGAAGCUCUUCUUGGGAGCCAGCCGCGCGUUCCCCCACACCGACUCAAACUUGAGAAGGAUCUCCAGCGGCUUCUCCGUGACGAGGCCGUAGGCGUGGGCGAUCCUGGCGUUGAGAAGACCGAUCCGGAGCGCCACCUUGAUGCCAAUCUCCACCGCCACCCUGCAGUGCUUGAGCGCCGGGUCCGCCUCGCAGGCGCUCGCCGCUGCCACCGCCAGGCCGUAUAGAGAGCUCGGGGACCGGGAGAAGAACUCCGAGUUCUCGUCCACGAAGUCCUCGCCCUCGAAGAUCCCAACCCUGUCCUCGUCGUCCUCGUCGUCCUCGUCACCGCCACCAUCGUCGUCCGCCACCUUUUGCCUCUUCCUCCUCGCGUCCAAACCCAUGAUCGUGGCCAGUAGCAUGUCUAGAACCGUGUGGAGCUUGGCCGGUGCCAAAUCCUGGAGCUUCGAGUUGAGAUCUCCCAAGAGGUCCUCGAGCUCGUCGGCCACCUCCACCCCGAUCACCAGCGCCGCCGGCAUCAUCACCACCAUUUGCAUACUCCCAAUCUCCACGGCCACCGAGUACUCGCUGCCAUGGUUCUCGGCUAUUCUUACGUUGCAGUGGAUCGCGUCCAGCUCCUGCUGGUUCCGUGACGUCCAAUCGCUCAGCCACUCUUGAGCCAUCCAAAAACCUUUAAACCCUAGAAGUUCAGCAAAUUUGACCAUUAUUCUCGUCAGCGCACACUGGAUCUCAUGCUAAAGUCGAUGGUGUUGAAGCAAAAUGGAUGCCCGAUCACUGCGUUCCUGCGCACGAUCUCUUCGUGUUGAAGAGAAAAAGCAAAGCAAAGACGCAAGCUUACUGGCGAGGGCCGUAGAUUUUGAUCUGCCGGAUGUGAGUGUCUCUUCCGUUUUGAUGAUUCGAGAGCACGGCCAAUUGGACUAGAAAAGCUCGCAGGUAUUCCCUGAAGAACACAGAAUCCCAAAUCUAGAAGAAGAAGAAUGGCGGAGAGAAAGAUUUCUUACUUGGAGUCUGUGGGACACAACGAGACUUUCACCCAUCCAACUGGCUCCGCGAGCUCCACCAUUUUGAUCUCCUUGGAAGAGGAAGAGAAAAGAGAGAUUUUGUUGACACAGUCGAGACGAAGAACGAAAAGUAAACAUACCCUCAAGUCAUAGAAAGAAUUUCCAGUGCGCACCGAGAUCUUGUUGGGCGUGUAGCUCUCAUCCAGCUUGAAAUCCACGUAAAUCGCCAGCAGCUGCAAGCGCACCUUCUUCUGGAACUGGAUGUUCACCAAAUGCGGCUGCGCGCCAUCGGAUCUAAGAACCCCAGCGAUCAGAGACGGGGAAAAUGCGCAAGAACACAAUACCCCUACUGCCAGUAGGUCUCCAGGCUCGCAUCGCGCAGCAGAUCGACGCCAUUCCCGGGCUUGGCGGAGCUCACGCUCCACACAGCCAGCUUCCCGAUCUCCCGCCGCUCGCCUUCGUCCUCGUCCUGCUGCAUUAAGCGCCGGAUCUUUUUAGGGUUCUUGCGGAUCUUUAGGGUUCUUGGAGGAGGAGCAGCGAUGGUGUGCAUCCGGCAGGCGACAGUGGACGAUCUCCUGGCGAUGCAGAGCUGCAAUCUUAUGUGCCUGCCGGAGAAUUACCAGAUGAAGUACUACUUCUACCACAUUCUCUCGUGGCCGCAGCUCCUCUACGUGGCCGAGGACAACAAGAAGAUCGUCGGGUACGUCCUGGCCAAGAUGGAGGAGGAGAGCUCCGAGUGCCACGGCCACAUCACGUCGCUGGCGGUGCUGCGCACGCACCGCAAGCUAGGGCUGGCCACCAAGCUCAUGAGCGCCGCGCAGCGCGCGAUGCAGGAGGUUUUCGGGGCCGACUACGUCUCGCUCCACGUCCGUAAGAGCAACCGCGCGGCAUUCCACCUCUACACCGAGACGCUGGGCUACAAGAUCAACGACAUCGAGGCCAAGUACUACGCGGAUAGCGAGGACGCCUACGACAUGCGCAACAUGUUCCACAAGCCCGGCAAGAGCAAGGCCGCGGCGCUCAAGGACAAGGACUCUGGCGGGAAGAAGCCAUCGCCCACUUCGGUCGAGAAGGAGAAGGAGAAGGAGAAGGAGAAGGAGAAGGCGUCCAAGGCGCCCUUGGAGAAGAAGCCACACUCCAAGGACAAAGACAAGGAUCCGGAAGGAGGAGGGGCGCCGACCAACACGAAUUCGCGAAGAGGUCUCAAGGCUGUAGAUUGAUAAACGAGGAGCUCGAGAGCUCAGUGAGCUUGGAGCUUGGAGCUUGGAGUACAAGGUAUUUUUUUUAUUUGAUCUCUCAUUCUCACAGCCGAGCUCGCGCAAAACACACACAACACUCCAGAAACUUACUUCUAUUCGUCACACUCCAUGGCUGGCCGGGGCUUAUUCAUCCUCCAUCCACCACCUUCUAUGCCUGGGAAUCACACCUCCUGGUCGCAGGAUUAUACAUCUUCGGCACCAGGAACUGCCGCUUGCGAUAGCCGAAGACGUUGAAGCUGGCUCCGGUGGUCUUGUUCCGCAGCAAGUCGUCCGGGAGAGCCUUCCUGUCCUUGCAGAAGCCCACGGCCUCGCUCAUCACAUUCUUCCCCUGGAGCGAGUAGUAUCCGUUCAAGAACGGAUUCGUGGCCACCGACGACAGCAUCUCGGCAAUGUUGACGAUCAUACCAUCGAUCCCGACGUCCCCGUUUGGCGGAACGAGCCCCUUGACUUGCUGCGGCGGCGGUGGCGGCUUCUUUCCUUCUUUCUUUGGCGGCGGCACGGGCUUCGGCUUGGAGCUCCCGAAAGGCCAGCUACAAGUUGCCGGGCAUCGCUUCUCGGUGUUGGCGAUCCAAGCGUAAGCAAGGCCUUUUCGGUCGGUGGCGGACUGGGGAACCACGAACGAGUGCUGUCCGCAAAACUGCUUGCACAGGCCUUUCACUUUGACGUCGUCCGCGAGGAGCAGUAGAUAGAUUCCCUGGGGAUCGGUCGGGAAGUGGCCCAGCAAGCGCAGGAUCAUCGUCUCAAUCUGCGUCAAGUUGAGCUCCUUUCCCAUGGAGUAGGACUUGUCUCGGACCUCCCGUCCCCGCCUCACGAGUCGUCCCACGGUAGCGCCCUUCCGGUUGACGUAGCUUUUUGUUAUCUCCCACCAUCGUGCGACCGUCGGAGACGCUGGAGGCCUCUCGGACUUGAAUGCUGGCUGAUGCUCGGGUAACGGCGAUGGCCUUGGUGGCUUCGGUGGAGACUUCUUCGGUGGUAGUGGCAGCGGUAGCGAUGGAGGUGGCGGAGAAGGCGGAGGUGGAGAUAGCGGUGGUGGAGAAGGUGGAGGAGGAGACGGAGGUGGUGGAGAAGGUGGUGGCGGAGGUGGAGGUGGGGAGGGAGGUGGUGGUGGUGGUGGCGAUUUAUUCGACUUUGGAGGAUUCUUUAGUGACGGAGGCGGUGGUGGAGGUGGAGAAGGAGGUGGCGGUGAUGGCGGCGGCGGCGGUGGUGGCGAUUUGAGUGGCUUUGGCAGCGGCGGCGGUAGCUUCUUCUCUUGCGACUGGAAGGACCUGAGGAAGGACCUGAUAGUUCUUCUCUGCGCCUUUGUGAAGUUGCCGUAGAACGUCACGUAAAUGGAGAUGGUGUUGUUCUGGCCGACCAGGAUGGGUCCAUCGUGAAAUGAGAGGCCGCUGGGGCCUUUCACUCGGCCAAUCGGCUGAGCCUUGAGCUUGCUGCUAUCCCAUGGCGAGGCGGCCGCUAUCUGGACAAGAGCCGGGAGUACGCAUGCCAGAUACAAGAGCAGGCUCGUCAUCCUUUUGCUGGCAUGAGAGCAUCCCUCCUUUCUAGUAGUCCACUUAGCAUCCUUGUCAGCUUGCCGUUCACAAGCUCGUUGCGGAGUAACUGUCAAACGGUAGUUACGGGUAGCGGGACCAAGGAAAAAACAGAAAAAAAAUUGCAAGCAGCUAUAAAAACUCACAUUUCAGAUGUUGUGAAACAAUCUCGGACUUCUUCCAUCCGAUGCUCUGCAGUGUGGCGCUGAUUGAAUCGUCCAACCGGAGCAGCUGAGGUGGGAUAACAGUCUCCACACAAAUCGUAGCCAACUUUCUCUGGACAGUCUAUACAUUUGUAUCUUGAACCGAUAAUUGGCAAGACCUGCGAGCGACUGUCAGUCCAUGCCAACUUCCGAUGUAAAAUCUAAGAAGCUUACCCCACAGCCAUCACAACCUGCACCCCGGUGGACAUGGCAAGCUUGUUUGUUGCUACCAUCCUUUGAUGAUGCUGCGGCAAUGUCAAUGUUAGCGAUAGCGGCAUAUCAACGAAAAAGAAACGAACAUGAGCGUGAGCAUGUUGAGCUCGAAGCCCGGGUCGAGGCUUCCGUCGUCUCAACUUCCUUAAGCUUGUCUUCUCUUUGUUUAUACUCCGCGGGAAACGUCUUCUGUAUGUACUCGUUUAGCUCCAGGCAAACUUGCACUGGAAAAAUCCUUUGUGGCAUACCGCAAGACGGGCACUUGGGACUUUCACCUUCGACUGGGGCCCUCAGACAGCUUUGACAAAACGCUGUGCCGAGAAAACGAACAAGUUAGAAGCAAAAAUAAACAAUGACAAGGAUUGAUCUCACCGUGUCCGCAAUUUAAGACGACUGGACGGUAUAUCAGCUCCUUGCAGAGCUCGCAAGGCAGGUCGGAUGCCUCUAUAGCUCCAUCAAUGCUUUUUUCAAUCACUUCUUCAGGAGAAAAGUAUUCCAUCUCGCUCUCCAUCUCUUCAAGAACAAAAAAAGAGCUUCAAAUGAGAGCAUUGAUAAGAGAAAGAAAAGAAACCUAAAGCGUAAGGCUAGAAUGGAUUGCCACUCACCUAGUAUCUCUUUCCUUCGCUCCUCGUACGCCUCGCGAAAUCCAGCUCCCAGCAAGCGAUGGAGGAGCCCGCAAAUCCUCGGGAACUGCGUGUACUCGCAUCUACACAUCGGGCAGCGCGAAGGGCCGGAUCCAUUCAUCGCGUAAUCGACACACCAGAAGCAAAAGAAAUGGCCGCACGCUGCAAUGGCAACAAGAGAUCACAAAGAGAAUCCAUGGAAAGAACAAACCGACCUUGGACGAUAGGUUUGAAACAAAGCUCCCUGCAAGGAAGAAAGCAUGAGAAGAAAUCCCCCACCGCGCAAUCGAAUCGAUCUUACAAGCACAUCGCGCACUGGAAAUGCGGCCAAUCCUCCAGCGCCUUGGGAUCGAGUGCCGCGUAAGCGUCCAUCUCCAUUCACAACCCUGCCCUAGUUUUUUGAGGACACGACUUCUUGGAAUAUCUGUGUUAUUCCCAUUUCUUCUUCCUAUUGGAGAAAGUAGCCACUGAGGAAGAGGAUAAAGAAGAAGACGAGCGAUCCAUAGAUGAGCAAGCUCUUCUGGCCGGAUGUGAGAGUGUUGGUGCCAAAUCCAUAGCUCUGGUUCUCGGCGAAUCCGGCCACUUCCACGCUGAUGCUAUUGAAGUAGGACUUGGCGGCGCCGCAAGUGGAGCAUCUCCAAUCCUCGGGCAGCUGCGCGAAUUCCACUCCUGGCGCGAUGGGGUAGGAUGGAUCGCCCACGGUUUGAUCGUAGACGUAGCCGCAGGAGCGGCAUUGGUGCUUGCCCAGAUCGCGGACGGCGAAUUUCUCCUCUGGAGAUUGAUUGGGAUCGUUCUUGGAACUGGGGGAAGAAGAUUAUCGAUGCUUACCUCUCCUCCGAUCCACAUUCUCCAGCGGCAGCGCCAAAUCGAUCUCGCUAUCGUCCUGCUCGCUCGCUACCACAUCGUUGUCCACCGCCCAUCGCCGGAUUGCUACGAGGCGGGAUUUCUGGAGAGGCCGGAUGAUCGAUCGAUGCGCACUAACCUGGAUGAUCGAUCGCGAUGCUGGAUGGUGGGAUUUGUGGACCACAGGAGUGGGAGGAUGAUCGAGGAGCGUGGCCGCCAUAGCUCUCCCAGACCUCAAAUCCAUGACGUGGCAAAUGUGGUGGUCUAGCUAGUGCCACGUGGCAAGAGGAAUUUAGGCCAAGUGGAUUAGGGUUUUUCGGGGGUUUUAGGGCUCUUCGGGCGAUGAUAGAGAGAGAUCUCCAUCCAGGGCAGAUCCUAUGGCGGAAUAUAGUGACGAGAAGCAGGGAUUCCAAGGCGUUCUUGGUCGGACUGAUGGGAGCGUGCAUUGUGGUGCCGUGGGCGGUCGCGGAAGGAUUCAUGUGGGGCGCCAAGCGCAACCAGGCCAAGCUCAAAGAAGAGCUCCGCCACGCGCCCUUCAAUAUGACAGAGGUGAGAGAUUUUAGAUCUAGUUUCGAUCGAUUUCUCGCAAAGUCUAGCUCCAUUCCUUGCCGCAUUCCCUCGGUCUUGUCCAGUUUUGAUUGAAUCCGAGAGGAAUUUGUAGGAAGUGACCAGCGCGAACAAGGAGAGGAUCGAGCAGCUGUUUGACGACAUCAAAUACAAGCGCAAUCUAAGCGAUCGCUACUUGAAAGCGAAGAAUCCUCCACGAACACGAGGAAAGACUACCACAGUGCCAGAGCAAGAAGAUCCAAAGCUAUGAUCUUAGUACAACUUUUUGUUCUUGAUAAAAUGAGGGAAAAAGAAAGUUUUCCACUUUGCAUCUGUUGGAGACAUGGGGUUUUGAUCCCCAGACCUUUCGCAUGCUAAGCGAAUGCUCUACCAACGGAGCUCUAUCCCCGACUCACGUACACGUGUAUGCGACCAUUUCCCCUCGGCCCUUUUCAUCAAAUCAAGGUCACUCUGUCACACACUAUUUGAAUUAUUGUUAUGAGUUCCAGCAACUGUGAGAUGAUAUAUCACACAUUUUUAUUUCAUGAACAUGAUUGCUUCACAGUCUUAGAAUUCAGACUAUCAUUGUCACAUGUCACUUGCUACAUUGUCACAAUGUCAUGCGAUAGCCAUACGCAUCCGCGAGAGAGGACUCCACCGUGUUGAACAGGAACUCACAGCCGUCGUAUGCAAGCGUGAUGCUUGGAUUUCUUUCCCACAGUCUUGUAGAAAUAGAAAGAACCACUUGUCUGUAGUUUCCAAAUGAUCCAUAGUUUAUGAACAUGUAAGAAUGAUAACAAACAAUGGCCGAGAACAAAAAAGACUUCGCAUGAUUUACUCGAAAUCUUGGGGUUGGCUGCUUGCAAAGACGUUCCACACGAUGGCUCCUGUCACGUAGAAGAAGAUUGAAGGGAGAAACAACGAGAGCUGAGGAGGAAAAGAAAAACUUUGAGCCUCCUUGAGCAUCUGGGAAGUGCUUGAAAGGCUUCGCUUACCGUCCAGGAACCGGUUUGAUCGAAAAUGUAACCGGUUGCCGCAACUCCUACCACUCCAGGAAUUGCACCAGCAGUAUUUGUUAUGCCCUGUGUGAGAAAUGCUUUGGUUUAGAAAGGAAAAAAGAAAGGAGAUGAUUUGAUUCCAUACCAAAAGAAUGCCGGCGUACUUCCGUGAUAUAUCUUGGUGUGUACAGUAAAGCCCUGGCAACACUGUUAGCAGCCGAAGAAACAAGGAAAAUGACUACCAGAUACCUGACAGCGCGAAACUUGACAAUCCAAUACCACCGGUUAGAAGCAGUAUGACCGACCACGGUGGUAGACUAGGAACCAAUGAGACAAUACUCAUGGAAGCUGAUGGAGAGAGAAAAGCGAUGCUUUGGCAGAUUUUUCUCACCUAGAAACAUAACAGUGCUAGUCAGAGGGACAAGAAAGAGAACACCAAACUUACCACUGUGGUGCUUAGUCCAGAUGUGAUCAUGCUAUCAGCCCAGACAGCCGCAAAGCUUGUUACUGGAACAGAUGCUAGAGGAGGAAGAAUUGAUAUCUGUACUUUCAUUAAUCAGCCAUUUUGAUAGCAAAAGGAAAAGCUCUCACCAGUGCUGCAUUAGUCAGAUUCAGGUGUAGCUCAUCACUGAUAUAAAAAGUCAGUACACAUUGGUUUUUCUACAGUUUAACGCACCUGACAAAUGUCGGCAUCCAGGAAAGAAGUGUAAAAUAUCCCCAAUUUCCACAGAAAUGGGCAUAAAUCAUCGCCCAGACUGGUGGACUUCUGAAAAAAGCGCUCCAAGGGACCUGUGACGAAACAGAAAAGAUGAUUACGGCGUCGAACGAAAUGUUCCUAACCUUUGACGGUUGUCCAGUCUCAUUGUCAGCAGCUGCUUGAUCUGUCUCUGCAAAAAAUGGUGUUUACAUCACUCAGAACGCUGUAUACUUGUAUUUACCUGAAUCGCAUCCUUCCGGAUUGAACAGAAGGCACCUGGUCAAACACACGUCAACAAAAGUUCAAAGGCUUGUUCCAUACCAGAAAAGGCCGAGCAAACCAAAGACGUAGAAAACAGAUUGCCAUCCAAAGUUUUCAAUGAAAACAGGAGCGAAAAGCAGCCUGGUUUGCAAGAUUCCAUAAGUUACGCAUUAGAGAGGCACAAAAGCUCACCCCGCUAUACUUCCAACGCUGAGGCCACCGAAAAUAACAGAGACCGCUCGCGAACGCUCGUUCGCACUUACUGUUCUACAUUCACACAUGAAAAACAAACAGUUACUGAUAAUGUUACGUAAUUGUACCUUGCUACGAGAUCGGUAGCGGCUGAAGGAGACACGCCUUCGCCGACACCGACCUGUCAAUUCCGGAAUCCAUCACUCUUUGUCAGAGAAAGAAAAACUAUGCUAGAAUGGAAAACAUACCAUCACCCGGCUUGCCAGAAUUAAUGGUAGAUAUCGGGCUGAAAGUGGGACAGCCAUAGUUGCCAACGACCAAAGAAAGACACCACCACGCAACACAUAUCUAGUACCAAACGGCAGGGAAAAUAAAAAAAGAAACGGAGAAUAUAGAGCCUUACUUUCCAGAAAAUUUACGUGAAAGCCAUCCACCAGGCAACUGGCUGAAAGCGUAUCCCAGAAACAGCGACGACUGAACUAAUCCAGAAGUUGUUGCCGGCCAUCCAAACUGCUGCGACAUCGGUAUAAUAGCUACACUCAAGUUCACCUUGAAACAAACAAGUAAAUAUCGUUAAGUCAGCGAUAAAAUUAAUCAGCGAGAAACUGAGAGGUACCUUGUCCAUGUUGCAAAUCACGAACGCGAGAGAAGCCAUGAGAAUGACCCUGUACUUGGGUUGAUUCCAAGAAACACUAGCAGUAUCUGUGGACGAAGGUAUUGCAGUAAUUUCAUCUUCUUUAUCCUGUGAGACACAAUGGAAUCUCAGCCCUGAGCCGUUCCGGAGUCUGAGAUGCUUUGUACUUAAAGGGCUAGACUGCGGACAGAUACUCAUCUUGGUCGCGACUCGAGGUAGCCCAAGACACAAAGCCACUGCUGCCAUUGACGGACCUUUUAUCUACAGACCAUAGCUGACCUUCUAAACUCUUUGGUUACACAGACUGGGGGCGUUUCACUGUUGCUUUACAGUCAGUGAGGGCUGGCCCCGAGGCAGCCUCUUUGCAAUCUCCUGUAUGUUUCUGAGAGUUAAAAAGGGAUUCAACAAAAGACCUUAGCGUACCUCGAAGAGCUCGUUAAUGUUGCCGGCGGUUUUCGCCGACGCCUCCGUAAAGAACAUGGAGUUGCUCUCUGCAUAAGCCCGAGCUUCCUGUAGAUAGCAUGUUGUGAGAGCAAUUUUGAACUGCCAGCUUGAACAUACAUCUGUUGAAACCGUGCGCAAGUUGUCAAGGUCGGCCUUGUUCCCAACAAGCGCAAGAACUAUCCCUGCGUUCGCAUGUUUUUGUAGCUCCUACACGAAAAUAAACGAGCAACCAUAGUUAAUGACAAACACGCAAAAUGAAAAGCAAGGGUGGAACCUUGACCCAGUAUUGAGCUUUCUGAAAUGACUCCUUGCUGGUCAGGUCGUAGACUACCACCGCUGCAGAAGCUCCCCUAUAGUAAAGUGGUGCUAAUGAAGCAUAUCUCUCUUGUCCUGCGGUGUCCCAUAUCUCAAACUUAACUGUGCUCGAGUCUUGGAGAGCUAUAGUUUGCGACAAAAAAGAAGCACCAACAGUAACCUGUAGCACCAUAUCAAAAUAAUAAACACAUUAAAAGCACUACUUGCCUUUGAUGACGGAUCAAACUGCCCCCUUACAAAGCGCAGAACAAUGCAGCUCUUUCCCACUCCGGAGUCGCCGAGAAGAACCAGCUGAUUGUAGAGAGUUGGAUCAAUUCACAGCACAGGCUUUCCAACUCACCUUGACCCGUAGGUGUUUAGUAUCUUGCGAUCCAUUUUCCAGAGAACCGUCACUCAGAUGUGGCAAACCUUUAACUGGAGAAAAAGGAAAUCAGCUUCGAACUUGGAGCUCACACAAAUAGAUCGCAUAAAUUGACGAUUUGGGUACAACCAUCGAAGGAGCAAAACAUACCGGGUCUAGAAGCCGCACACCCCAUCGUCGUCCUCCGGAGCUUAAGAACCUAUGGAAUAUGCUGAUCUCUCACUGGAGUUUAAGUAGUUCCGAAAUAGUCACGACCGAAUAGCCCUUUCGUUUAAGCUCGGGGAGAAGUACCCUUAGCACCUGAAACCAAACUCGUGAUCGAAACUAGGAAAAAGGGUAGUACCUCCGGAGUCUGUAUCUUCUGCUGUUCCCUGUCGUGAAGAACGAUAAUAGCACCGGGAUGAACCUACAACUUUCCACAAUAAAGGUUUAAGGACCAUCUGGAAAAUUGACACAUACCCUCCACAAUAGGUACUUGGCAAUCAACUUUCCUUUGUUCCUGAACAACGUGUCGAGAGGAUACAGAGAGCCGAGUACCAAUUUGUAGCCGUACCCCUCGACAAGAUCUAUCAUUUCUCGAGUGUAGAAGCCGUGUCCCUGCACGAAAAUUAUGAUUGAUCAGUGAACGAAGAAGCUUGAGUUACAUACGGGUCGAAACCACUUCCACGGUUUUCCGUCCUCGCCUUUACGGAAAAAUGGAUUGAGCCGUCUCUCUGUGGCAAGAAGCUGGGCAGUAAACUCCUCCUGCAUGCACACAAAUGCUUCAACUUACACCUAUAAAAACGAGGCAUACCGGAGAGAGACGCCAGGAAGCACAAUCGUACAUGGUGUGGUUCCCAACCUCAUGCCCUGUAUCAUCCAACGUGAUGAAAAGCAAAGCUAUGGCGACGCACCUUCUUUGUAAAUUCUCUCGACCACCUCUGGGCACUUGUCCAUAUUACUUCCUAUCAGGAACCACGUCGCUUUGCUGUGGUUUUCCUCAAGAAUGUCCAGUAGCUGAAACACGAAAAUCCCUUGGGACGAUUUAGCUAAGAACAUGUCACAAAGAAAAAAAAAAGAAAAAUCUCUCCACUCACUCAAGAAAAACUAGUUUACUACCUCGUGUGUAAUGUCUCUGUGAGGCCCAUCGUCCAGAGUGAGCGCGACCAGAAGCUCUGGACAAAAUCAAGCAAUGUGAGAGUGCUAGGGAAGGAAAGAGAAGAGCAGACCGUGCUUUUCUCGUCCUUGAUCGAGAAACAAGACUCUUCGCUGCCUCGUUUGCACGAUCCUGACGAGCCAUGUCGGGUGAACGGCGAGCCUGGAUUCACAAGAAGGAUGAGCAACGAAAAGAGCUGCCUAUGAUCGACCACUCACGUAAGAAUGCCAAUGCCGGCGAUUCCAAGCGCUCCAAAUCCGAGGGUAAGCGUCGCGGCGGCCACUCCCCCUUGUGGCCACAUUCUCUUUUCUUCCAAGAUAUUAGGGCUCUACGAGGAAAUGGCGCUAUGUGGCAUUCCGCUGACAAUUCUAGGGCUCCUCUAGCGCCGAUGGAUGCGGCGAGCGAAUGUAAGAAUCUGUGCCUCUCGCCUGCUCUCUUGUGAUCUUUCUCUCUGCAGAGCGAGCACACAACCAAUCUGGCAGAGCAGCAAGAUCGAGGAGAAUCGUUUGGUAUCCAGGAGUUUCGAUGGCACUGGGUUCGCCCUCGCGGCCUCGAGAGCUUGCGGCAUUCUCAGGGAUCUGGAAACAGCACGAAGGCUACACAAGGAUGCGAUCGCGAUCGACGGGAACAGCAACAUCUACAUCGCGAGCAGCUUGGUGGACAGCUACGCGAAAUGUGGGAGCCUGGUCGAUGCUCGCAGCGCCUUCGAAGCUAUGGAUUCCCGCAAUGCAGUGGCGUGGACGUCGCUGAUCCUCGGCUGCGCGGAGAAUGGGGAGGCCGAGGCUGGCCUGGAGUUGUUCCAGCGGAUCAUCGACGAGGGCUGCGAGCCAAGCGCUCGAUCUUUCGUGGCGGCCCUCAAGUGUUGCUCUCGGCUGGCCAGGGAAGAAGAGGGAAGCCUCGAUCGUCUCCAUGGCAAGACGCGCAAGAAGCUGAGAAGCUUGGCUAGAGGCGCGGCUAUUCAUCGCUUGAUCGAGGGAUGCGUGGAUAUCUUCGUCGCGGGCAGCCUGAUCGACAUGUACGCUAGCUGUGGAGAUUUGCGGCGAGCUCGUCGCGUCUUCGACAGGAUUCCAUGCCACAACUUGGUAGCGUGGAACGCUAUGAUCCUGGGCUAUGCCGAGCAAGGUGACGGACGCUCGUCGCUGGAGCUCUACGAUCGCUUGUCUUCGGUUCCGGGGAUGGUUCCAGACGCUCGGACGAUUGGAGCUGCUCUUAAGGCUUGCUCCCUCCUAGCAGCUGACAAGCACCGCAACGAAAAGUUCUAUGAAAAGUUGGAGCAUGAAGAACACGAAGAAAGGAUAGAGCAUGAAGAACAAGAACACAGUAACGCUCUCCAGGUGAGGGAAUUGCUGGACAAAGGCAGGCAGCUUUUCUCUCGAGCAGUGGAACUCGGGUAUGGCUCGGACGUCUUCCUUCUUAACACGGUGGUGGACUUUUACGCGAAGUGUGGGAGCUUGGCCGAGGCUCGGGCGGUCUUCGACAGGAUUCCAUGCAAGACGUGCGUCUCCUGGAACGCUCUCAUGCUCGGCUACGUGGAGAACGGUCAUGCCGAGCAGGCUCUAGACUUGUUCAUGAGCAUGCCGGACGAGAUGGAUUCGACGACGUUUGCUGCGGCUUUCAAGGCCUGUGGUAGCAGAGCUUUUCUGGGAACUGGGAAGUCCAUCCACGCACAUAUCUGCCGGUGUGGAGCUGAGAAGAACCUGGUUGUGGCGACCGGAGCUUUGGAUUUCUACUCCAAGUGCGGCAACAUGGUCGAAGCUCAGCACAUCUUCGACUCCAUGCCGUCGAAGAACACCGUAACUUGGACAGCGCUCAUCGGCGGAUUCAGUCGCCUGGGAGGAGAGGAAUCGACACAGCAGGUGUUUGAUCUCUUCCGUGAGAUGCUCGACGGUGGGCUCAAGCCAGACGGUGCCACUCUCGUGCUGGUCAUUGCCGCUUGCAGCCAUGCCGGCCUGGUCGACAAAGGCCGAAAGAUCUUCGAAGAAGUUCUUCCGAGGCACUGCGUCUCUCUCGGGAUAGAGCACUACCACGCCUUGAUCGAUCUUCUGGGACGAGCCAACGAGCUCCAGGAAGCUCUGGACGUGGCGGAGACGAUGCCUUUCAAGCCCAGCUUCGUGACAUGGAUGACGCUGCUGGCCUGCUGCAAGAAGUGGGGCAAUGCAGCGAUUGGGAAGCUCGCGUUCCAGAGAUUGAUAGCGAUCGAUGCGACAGACCCCACUGCCUAUGUGCUCCUGGAGAAGAUCUACGCGAGCCAAGGAUCGUGGAAGGAGCUCGCGGAGAUCGAAGAAAUGAGGAAGAAGAAGAAAGCGAAGACCGUUGACUCUGUACGUCUUUGACUAGACCGCGUUUGACUGAAAAUUCUACGGUGCUAUGGCUGUUUCCACGACGCUUCUUCGAUAACUAGCUAAAAGCGUUUUUUACAGUGAGCUAUUUGUUAGUCCAUUCUUCGCUAGGGCUCUCUGGCGCUCCGGACUAGGGUAUACAUGGUCCUCGUGAGCUUGGCAGCUGAGAGCGCGGCGCCAGCGUGUUGAUCUGGGCAGAGCGGAGCUUCCAAUUCCACCAGUGCCGGCAGUCCGCGAGCUGAAAUUGUGAGUUUCUAGGGGCGAAGAAAUGCGCGAUAGCGCUCCUCGCAGCGAUCCUCACAAUGUAUGACAAUCGCCGUUUAAGAUUCUUUCCCUCUCAGCCAGGUAUGUGCUCUGUUGUGGAGAAGCGAUUUUUUGGAUUAAUUUUGUGUUGUUUGACAAUGUCUAUAGAGAUUGACAUCUAUCAGAUUAUACGCGAAGCACAGAACAGAUGGUUGAGGCCUCUGGAAGUGAUCGAGAUCCUCCGCAACUACCAGAAGUUCCGGCUCAACCCCGUUCCACCGAAUAAGCCUCCAAGUAUGAAUCGAUCGCUUUGAGCUUUGACUGGACAUUUAAUACUUUACAAGCAGGUGGAUCGUUGUUUCUCUUUGAUCGUAAGACACUGCGCUUCUUCCGCAAGGAUGGUCAUAAUUGGCGGAAGAAGAAAGAUGGUAAAACUGUCCGAGAGGCUCACGAGCGUCUUAAGGUAUGGCUAGAAGCUUGCUCGAAGAAUUUCUAAGAUAUUCCUAUUGUAGGCCGGUAGUGUAGAUGUUCUUCACUGUUAUUAUGCUCAUGGAGAGGACAAUCCAAAUUUUCAACGUCGGAGUUAUUGGAUGCUUGAAGGGUAAUGUCAACAAAAAGAAUAGCCGAUAGUUAUAACGACAGUUUUACAGGGCAUAUGAACACAUCGUCCUUGUACACUACAGGGAAGUCACGGAGGUACAAAGUUUUAUUUUUUACCUCUCCAUGUGUAUCUCGAAAGUCAUUUCUUUAUUUUGCACUUUCCAGGGAAGCAGAUCAUCUGUGUAUCGAUCCAUGCAAGAAGCAAAAGAGAAUGCGUCGCAUUCUCGUGCUACGGGACAAAGCCUACCUGCAUCCAAUUCAGCCAUUUCCGACGUUGAGGUGACAGGCCCCUACAAAUCCCCCGAAGCUCCUGUGACGCCCAUCGAAAGUGAAGGCACCGACUCUGGUGAAGAAGGCCACGUUAAUGAAAACAAUGUUGUGGAGCAAUCGUCCUUACUGCAGCAAGUCGCUCAAUCUUCUCCAGUCGCUCCACCUUCUACCAGUGUUCCCGUUGCAGCGGUGCCUGCUGCGGCGAAAAAUCUGGAAGGAGUGGACUAUGACGAUCUUCUACGAAAUCCUGGUAAAAUCAAUCUGUUCUCUACGCAUCAAGCUGACUGUCCUUUGUAGACGCGUAUCUUGGUCAAAAGUCAAUAGAUGCCCAGACAUGGAGUACGUUGCUGGAUAACUUCGGAGGCACCAACACAACUGAAAAAAUGGAAAGCACUUCUCAAAGCCAUUUCCUGUCUCCCGGUUUUUCAAAUCACGUGUAUAACUCCAUUACACCUACUAAUCACCCUUUUCCACCUGUGGUAAGUUGUGCUCAUGCUAUCAGUUCGUUUCCUGAGAUUUUUUUUGUAGCUUUCGACCCCGGAUUCUCAGCAUAUGGAAGUUGAUCUUCGUCAGGUGAUUCUGCAAGCCAUGCAUUUCUUAUGACGCAUUGUUUUUAUUGCUACAUAUUUUUGUGACGCAGGCUCAGUAUUCCGCACAAGAUGUUUCUAAAAAACCACAAACCGCUAUUCCGAAUGAUGCUUCCGAAUACUACAAAGUCGCUCUGCCAGACGUGUUGGUUGAAGACGAGGGGAAAACUUCGUUAAAAAAGCUGGAUAGCUUUGGCCGAUGGAUGAGCCGGGAAAUUGGAGAGGAUAGUCAGAGCUCUUUACUUUCAGGCUCUACUGACCACGCUUACUGGACACUAGACGACCAUAACACGUUCGAUGAGAUUUCAAACUUUACUCAACAAAUACAGGACGUUGGUCUUGGCCCGUCUGUCUCGCAAGAUCAGCAGUUCAGUAUCGUGGAUUUCUCACCGGAUUGGGCGUUUUCAUCAGAAGAAACGAAGGUGAAACAUUUUCCCGGUUCAGUUUUGUUGAAAAGUAUCUUAAGUUUCUUCUGUUCCUUUUUUUUUUCCAGGUUAUCGUUGCAGGGAACUUUUUGAAGAGGGGUGCAAGCCCUGUAUGGCACUGCAUGUUUGGUGAAGUGGAGGUUCCUGCAGAGACCAUUCAUGAAGGUGUUCUUCGUUGCAAGGCCCCUAUACAUUCUCCAGGAAGGGUUCCUUUGUAUAUUACUCUUGGAGAUAGGGUCGCUUGCAGUGAAAUUAGGGAGUUCGAAUAUCGUACCGCGACGAUGAAGCCUGUAGCGGGUAAUCCAGAACAAUUACAGGUUGAAGACGAGGUUUUAGAACAGCGGUUUGCAAGGUUAAUUUCGCUUAACACCGACGAAGCAACGAAGUCCGAGGAGCAGUCAGAUAAAGUACAGCUAUCGAAGAUCUUGGAACUUACUUCUGGUCUGUGGGAAGAUCCUGAGCCGAGUGAGAGCGAGGUGGGAAGUUCCACAAGAGACACCGUUCUUCAAACGCUGUUGAAGCAGCAACUUCAGAGAUGGCUGCUUGUGAAAGUUUGUGACCGGGAUAAAGGUGCUGCGGUUUUGGAUGCGCAGGGACAAAGUGCGCUUCACUUGGCAGCUGCACUAGGAUACGAUUGGGCCGUCAAUCCCAUACUGGCUGCUGGUGUCGGAGUUAACUUUCGAGAUGUCCACGGUUGGACGGGACUUCAUUGGGCCGCAUCUCGUGGAAGGUUUAUUUUCUUUUUCUCUUUUGUUUUUCCGAUCUUCUAAAGCUCGCGGAUCUUGUAGGGAGAAAGUGGUUUCGACACUUCUGGCAGCUGGUGCCUCUCCAGGACUGGUUACUGAUCCUACUCCACAAAAUUCAUCUGGACGUACUCCCGCCGACCUCGCAGCAAGCAGCGGUCACAAAGGAAUGGCAGGAUUACUAGCGGAGAUGUCUCUGACUACUCAUCUCACGUCAUUGACGCUGAAGGAGAGGAACACCGACGAAAUAGACUCGCUGUCUGCUGUUCUUGCCGAAGAGAAAGCCGUAGAGGAUUUCUCGGACAACCAAGCUGCAAAUGGUGGAACCGAUCGGUCCCUGCUCCAAGGUUCCCUCCGAGCUGUCAGAAACGCAGCCCGCGCUGCAGCGCUCAUCCAUGCAAGCUUCCGCCAAGAAUCGUUCAGGAGGCGCCAGGAGAAGAUUGGAGAAGAAAUCGACAACGAAUAUGGAAUGUCGAUGAACGAGCUGAAGGUUUUGGCUUCGCGAAACGGCGGCGCGAACCGGAAGGAACACUCGGCAGCGACAAAGAUACAGCAAAAGUAUCGCGGCUGGAAAGGUCGCAGGGACUUCCUCCUCCUCCGCCAACGCGUAGUGAGAAUCCAGGUAAAACCGUCGAUUCAGCGUCGCUUUUGGUGACUAAAAGCUUGUGCCGCUCUUCAGGCUCACGUUCGCGGACACCAAGUUCGUAGGAAAUUCAGAAAGAUUCUCUGGACGGUCGGCAUACUGGACAAAGCCAUUCUGAGAUGGCGGAGGAAGCGCGGUGGCCUCCGCCGAGCGAGCGCGCAAACUCAGAACACGGACGACGACGACGUCUUGAAAGCCGGCAGGAAACAAAAGGAGGCACAGUUCCAAAAGGCCGUGACGCGCGUCCAGUCCAUGGUUCGCUCGCACGAAGCGCAAGAACAAUAUCAAAGAAUACAGGAAGCUUACCUUCAAGCUGUGGUGAGUAGUCUCUCGUUUUUUCCUAGUUUCCCAGCAUUUCGAUCGUGGGCUUAUAGUCUCCAUCUUCAUUCGAUCUAAAACUUUUGCGUUUGCGCAGGCUGGUGACUCUCAAGCUCGUAACGAGAAUGAACGAGACGAGACAAUGCUGGGCUGACCGAAAAAACUAACAAGCAGUACUCUUAUAUCGGAUAACUUUGGUUUCCUUCUUUCGCCAUUACGUUUUAAGCUUCUUGUUUCUACUAACAUUUGAAUGCUGUCAUUUUUUGCGCGAUAUAUAUAAAUUCCACACCAAAGUUUUUCCAGACCGUUAGAUGAGCGAGAUCCGCGGCUGAAACGUUCCACGGCUACAUGCCGUCGAUAUUCUGGACGGGCGGGAUCUUUCUAACGGCCAUAUGAUGUUUGAAGUGUAACAAGAAAAAAGAAAAAGAGGGUUUUGAGGAGUCCUAUGCCACUAGAUUGGGAUCCACGCGCGCGCUAAUGCGAUCGGUCGCUGUUCUAGGUACCUGAUCGAUCGAUCUUGCGUUUCUGGUUUCUGGGAGUAGAUUAGGCGAUGGGGAGUCAUCCGGUAGAGGUAGUAGGGCGCAUUCGCGGCCAUCCCGACGGCAAGGGCGAGCAAUCGUCGGCGCUGAGUGUUCUAGCGGGCGGCAAGUCCGUCCGGCUGCGAUGCGAUCAGGGAUACAGGGAUUUUGUGCUGGAUGGAGUGUCCGUGGCCGAGGAGGAGAAUUUGAGAGCGUUCUACGCGAAAUAUGUGGAAGCCAGGGUCGAUGACGUGAGGGCCGGCGGGCGAUGCACGGUGAUGAUGUAUGGGCCGACUGGCGCGGGCAAGAGCCACACGAUGUUUGGAUCUUCCAAAGAGGCUGGAGUGGCAUACCUUGCUCUCCAUCAGAUCAUGAAGAGCAAGCUUCCAGUGCCGCACGGCAAUCGCACGAAUGUCACGGCCAAUGUUCUGGAGAUCUACAACGAGGAGGUGUAUGAUCUUCUCGCCAGUAACUGCGUGGCUAGUCCGGGGCCAAAGUCAUUAAAGCCCAUUCCAGGCCGGGUAAGUUAGUUCGUCCUACCUAGGCACCAUUCUAACUCUUUUCUUUCUUUAUUUUUGCUAGGCAAGGCUCGAGGUGCGAGGAGGAAAAGCGAAAAAUGCGACAUUCAUUUCUGGUGAAGAUCCCUCCAAGCUUGUGAACGAAAUUGCCAACGUCGAGAAGCGUCGAGUUGUGAAAAGCACCAACUGUAACAGUCGAAGUUCUCGGAGCCACUGCAUGGUAAUCUGAUUACUAGCGCGACCUCUGAUAGAUUAACUUGUCCUAGCAGGUUGUCCUGAAUGUUUCUGGAGCGGGUGGGAAGCUGAUCUUGGUGGAUAUGGCCGGCUCUGAGAAUUCUGAUCAAGCGGGAUCCAUUGGGUCGGAAGCUAAAAUACAGGUACCAAUACUAUGGAGAUUUGAAAGCUGUUGUUAAGUUUAGUUUUCAGACUGGAAAGAUAAAUCAAGGAAACGGUGCACUAAGACGGGUGGUAGAGUGCAUUGCCAACGGAGAUCCUUACAUUCCUUACCGGGACAGUAAACUCACAAUGCUUCUUCAGGUAACUUCUCAGUAUGAAAGUUCGAAUAGAUCUCAAGUACGGUUUAUCCAGGAUUCGUUUGAAGAGGAUGGCGCAAAGAUUUUGAUGAUUUUGUGCGCCAGUCCAGACGGCAGAGAUGCCUACAAGACAAUCUGCACUUUGGAGUAUGGAGCUAAAGCGAAGUGCAUCGUUCGACUUCCUUCUUCUCCACCUAAGGACAGAGCGACAUUUGCCGACGGCAUGGAAGCUGUGUUACUGGCUCGCCUUCGUCAUAAGGACGAGUGCAUUGAGAGGUUGCGCCAGGAGUAUGAUCAGAAGGAAAGGGAACGUUUAGAAAUUGCUCAGAAACUCAUCCAGCGGCAGGAAGAUUUGAAGGCACUGACGCUAAGGACCGAGAAGAUGGAGGAAGAAAAGGUGAAGAGAUUGGCGGAACUGCAAGCUGAAAUGGAACGUAUGAUGAAGGAGAAGGCAGACGAACUGAGAAGAGAAAUGGAACUUGAACUGCAACUUCAAGUUCACAAGAUUUGUCCUGAAAAUGGUCAGUAUCGACUUGCUGAGCUGGAGAAGGUAAUCCAAGAUCAAAGGCAGGAGAUUGCAGUGCUGCAUUUGAGAGCUGAGCGAGCAGAAUCUCAGGUUCAAGAGUUCCUUCAAGCAUCGAGUCAGGCGUGGGCUGAGUCCAACGACAUAGUGGAUAUGGAUUUAUCCAACAGCAUUUGCAUGUCAAGAGAUUUCACGAACGGCAGCACUGCGGAUGAUCGAGCAGGAGAUAGUUCUGUCGUAUCGGCAACACCUGCAUCAGCAGACAAUGAGCGUGGCCGGGAAGAUCAAUCGGACAAGUAUGACACACCGAAAGAUGGAGUCAACCGGAACUUGUUUGCUCUGGAUAAAGUCCACAGCGAGGUGGAGGUUCCGUGGAGCGAAAUCGGGCUUUUCAAAACAGGUUGGCUACCAAUCAUACCUGAAGAGGCGGAUGAAGAGGCUUUGAAACCUGUCGAGACUUCGAGUGGAGAUACAGGAGAAGACACGCCGCAACCGUUAUGUCCAAGUAACCUUGAGAAGAAGUUCGAAUUGCAGUUUGAGGAUAAAGGUAAAAUUUCAAGCGCAGAAGUAAGUGUUGGGAGGAUCGAAGCAGGAGCCGUCUCUCCGGUCGGUACCAAGUCAACAAUCGAUCAUUUCACUUCGCAUGAGAGGGUUGCCAGCAGAAAGGCUCGAAUCGAGAACAUUUUCCUACUUUGUGGCAAUCACAGAGAGCUUGCCAAGAGUCCACGACGAGGUGACGCACCAUCUUGGGAUACUACUUCGGACAUCCAGGAUGGACAUCUUUCUCCAUUCCGCCCUCGCGACAGAGAUUCAUUGAAAGCGGUACUUGACUCUCUUAGCACUCCGGAGGCACUACAUGCUGCCGCAACGAUUUCCAACGACAAUAGUGAUACAGAGGUCUACGUCAAAUGGGAAUCGACAAAGAUGGCCGCUGGAAAGCCGAUUUGCAGUGUCCACGUUAGCAGCAGCACCAGCCUGGCAGAUCUGCGGACUAAGAUCGGCCUCCACGUUAUCUCUCCAUCGGACUUUUCGUUUUCUCUCGGCGUAAGUAAAACAUGCGCUCUGCUUUCAUGUCUCAUAUUCUAAUGGUGGAGGUUACAGGACUUCGGUGGUGCUCCAAUCGACAGAGCGGCAGAAAAUGCACUUCUCGUGAGAUCGCUACCACUUCAUGAAAAUAAUCCAAACUGGAGGCUGGCGUGCUUGAGAACCUCAGCAACGUCACCAGCGAAAUCAAGCCCGAGCAGCCGGUCAACCCCGUUCAAGCCAGUGGAGAACCGCGCGACGUCAACCAGUCCUCCGAGCGCGUCCAGCAACAAGCUUGUGAAAGUCCGCGGAGGGGAAGAGAACAUCGCGCCUGUAGCAGACAUAGACGUGCUUUCAAGAGGUGCAGUUUUCUUUUGCAAACACUAGACAGAUUUCUUGCUAAGUGCCUGCUCUUUAUGUUCCAGUUUGUGCGAGGUAGCUGUACAGUGGUGUGUGACAAAAACAAGCUUAAAAGCGUCAUUUCCAGGUAGCUCUAAUCGAUAUUACGAGUCCACAGAUCUCCGUUAGCGCGCGUUUUUUGAGCACUUAAUAAGGCAAAAUAGAAAAAUACUGAUUGUGGUCUUCCAAACGCUACGCUAGAACAGAUUAUUUCUUGCAACUAACUGCUGCCUCUUUUUGUGUUACAUGUACAAAAACUUGCGAGUAUUCCUGUACACAGACUAAAAGUCAAGCUAAAACGUCCUCCCCAGGUAGUGUUUGAUAGUACGGGUCUGCUGAAUCCUUGAGGUUCCUCGUUUUGUACAGGGACAAUAGGAAGAAAGCGGCAGCCAUCGCCAGAAAAGAGCUGCCCAGUAUAUAAUAUUGCGUGAAAAUUGUUGGCGCAACCAUCACCUUCGAAAGGAAAGAAUCGAAGGUUAGUAAAAAACCAAAGACACAAUAGUUUUUUUGGCUUACAAUGACAAACUGGAAAACAGAUUGGAGAAUGCGACCAGCGAGCGUGUUGAGGCUGAAGAGAAGAACGUACUCCUUGUUCGCCAGAAAUCUCGCGCACUGGACGUGAACGAUGCAGACGAGAAUCCUGUUAAUCCCCACGAUGACAAUGAACCCAGGAUACGCGACCCAAAGAGUAGCGGUAUACGGCAUUGAUAGGAGAAGAACUCCAAUCAGCACGGAACCAGCGGUGUAGUAGGCAAUGCCGGCGUCCCUGGCAACGAGCACCGAAAGUGGAAUGGCGCACAAUGCGGCUAUGAAGUUUGUGAUCUCAGUGGCCGCCAUGACGUGACCGCUGUAGAUGGAGGUAGAGUCGAUCGCUUCAAACAGGUUGAGCAUGUAUGUGGAAGCCAUGGCGUAUCCCGCGACAUCAAAAGCCCACCUGGUAAGGAAAAAAAAAUCAGACAUCUUUUAGUCCUAACGUUUUGGUGGUUUUCAGAUGAUAGUGACGAUCAAACAAGUAGCAGUACGUACCAAAUUGACAGAAGUUGCACGAAUGGAUUUUCCCAGGUCUCCCUGACGACGGUCGCAAGUCCCUGAUGAUCGCAAGCAAGCAGAGAGAAUUGGAAGCUUUUCUUCUCGAGAAAGUAGCUCGAAUCAAACCUUGAGGCGACAGAUCGAUAGUAGCUCCAGAAUUGGUGGCCUUUUGGAUUUCCUGGGCGCUGCUGGGCAGUCUGAGCACUGAGAGCUCUGCGGGUCUCUGGGCAGGACGAGGCAAAUCAACACGGAGAGAGCAACCUGGUCAAUGGUAAAACUUAUGAAAGUUCUGAUUUUUAAGAGACUUCGCUCACCAUUGACAUGGAUAUGUAGAGAAGCACGUCAAUGGAGAUCCCCUCGUGAAUCAACGCUUGGCCUGGAACAAUCAGUUAAGUCUUUUGAUUUCUCGAAUUUGGUUUUCUCACCGAGCUCGGAAGCACCAAAGUGCGCGAUACUCGACGCUGCUUCCGUGCUGCUGGUCUGGAUUCACUGAGACGGCAUUAGAGACGGCAGAAAGAAUUUCAUUCACGUCGAGCAAAGCGCACCAUAAUCUGGAACUUGUUCUCGGGCACAAGCAAGAACAAGUAUGCCGGGAAGACAACUUCGAUGCCAGCAGCCAUUGAUCGAAAGAGCUGCAACAAAAUUCACAGGGCAGGCAUUAAUACACUCGCCAAGUUUUUGCCUGGGAACAGAAGCAAAACCUGCAUCAACUGUAGCCAAAGAAUCGAAUCUCCCCAUAGCAGCAGCGAGUACUCCACAAAGACCGCUAGAGAAGCUGGGGAGCGAGAAGAAGGCGUAAGAAUCAAGCAGGAAACAAGAAAAUUCUCACCAAGCAUGAGAGUGCCAUGAUACGAGAACAAGGAACAGGCCGGAGCCGCGAGGAAGAUGAAGAGAGAUCGCGAAUACACUCCCACUGGCAGGAUCCUGGUGCUUAUCUGCACAAGAAACAGGGGUGCUAGUGCUAUAAGAUCGAUCGAUUCUCUCGGAGCUACAAGGAAAAAAACAAAAGCUCUACUACGAGGAAAGGGACGGACAGGGACGAGCGAGAGGGGAGAUUUUUUUUUAAGCGUUAAAAGCAACCUCUUGAUUGGUGAUCCCUUUGUUGUGGAUCAUGUAACGAACUUCGUAGGGGAUGACUGGAGCGAAGCGCUGCGCGAAUCGGUAGGCGCUGGGCAGAAGAACCGCGAGGGCGAUUGGCAAUCUGGCUGUUGCUGCUCGUCCUCCGUUUGGCGAUGCGAGGGCCAUGUCUUCUUCGUCGACCAUGGCGCGACGCGACGCGAUGGGAAAGAAAAAUCGAGGAAAUGUGGGCGCGCUACUAAAUUUACUAACAAGCAAAGGUCUUAAAUAUUUGGUCCACGGCGGGGAUUCUCAACUAUAGUCCGACGUGGCCACUACGGUACCGAGGUGGCGGUCCCGAGCCGCCUUUUCCCUUCAUAUCAUCGGGACGAUUCCGUAGGUUCGCGGAUGAAAAGCCGGGAAUAUGUCAUGUCCAUGUGGCACGUGCCCGGCACACGCCACCAUGCGCUGCCGUGUGCCAACGUGGCGCCAAAAUGGAAAGUUUGGAUUGGUGAAGGAACGGUUGGAAUCGCCUUAGUUUAGAUUUCUGAAGAAGUUUUUUCCUUGUGUGGGAGAGAUGGCAAUCGAUCAAGGGACGCAAGAGGUGGUGACAGCGUGGCCACAAUGACCACAACUUGAGGUUGGGUGACCAUUAACACUUAUGCUUGGUUAUUUUAGAAUAUUUUUAAUUGAUAAACAUGUUUAUAAUUCAUAAACUUUCCUAAACACUUUCUAGUAUAUUCUAGUAUAUUUUACCAUUUAAUGGUUUAUAUACAAUAAGAUUAGUUUUGUGUUAUAAAUUAGAUUUUUUAAAAAACUUUUUAUAAUUUAUACUCCAAAACUAUAAAGUAGAAUUAGACUGAAAUCUUGAUUACUAUAAUCAUGCAAUCUAAUUACAUAAAAAUACAUAAUUACAUAGUUAUAAAAAUUAUUUAUUAUAGAAAUCAGUAAUCAAAUAUAAAUUAGACCUUUUACCAAACUUUAUUUUAAAAUAUAAUCAUUUUUCCUCCCACGGUUAAACUAUAAAUAUUUUUUUUAAAAGCUUUAAAAUAUGUGUAGAAGUUUACUGCAUUUACUUAUCAUCAUCAUAGGAAUUUAAAAUAUACUUUAUUUAUUAAAUAAUUAUAAUUAGAUUGUAUUAAAAUUAUAGAUAUAAAUUACACUUGAAGAGAAAUAAAAAAUUUAUACAUAAACAAUAAUACAUCAAAUUUUGUAUAUAAACUAAAAUGAACAAACAAGUUUUUACAUUAAAUUUUAAGUAAAAAAAAUUUAAUCUUAUCUGAAAUAUUCAAGACAAAAGAAACUUAAAAAUAAAAUUUUUACAAGGAAAAUAAAUAAAAUCAAUAAUUAACUAAAAUAAACCUUUCAAAACAUGUAAUUUAGUUAAAAUUAAAUAAAAAUAAUAAUAUAAUUUUAAAGUUAAUAUUAAUUUUUAAUAUAUUUUAUAAUAAAUCCUAUUUGUAUAGUGUGUAAAGGGCUUUUACAAUUCAUAAAUUUCAAUAAAGAUGUCAAAAAAUCUUGAUUUCUAUGUUAAAAUUGUAGUUAAAGUGAUCAAAUUAACCAUAGGUUAUUGGCUACUAGGUGAUCCGUUACUUCAAUGAAAAAUAACAUCAUUAUUAAAUAUUAAUUAAUUAGGGGUUUAUGUGUUACAUUAUACUUAUUUAUGCAUAUAGAUUUAAAAUUUAAAUUUGGUCGUAUGGCCAUAAAUUUACAUUUAAAAAAAUCCACCAAAAUUUUAUCAUUUAUCAUCAUGCUACAAAAGAAUGUUUUUUAUACUAAAAUAAUUUUUAAAAUAUGUAAUCUAUAUAAUUUUAAAAUAUAAAAAUUUAAAAUAAAAAACCUUUCAAGUUUUAUAUUAUGUUUAAAUUUCUUUCUUCCACUUAUCAAUUAGUUAAAUUUUACAAUUUAUUAAAAAAAAAGUUAAAAUUUUAUUUUAAUACUUGACUUAUAAUGGUGUUAAUUUAAAUAGAACAUACUCAUUAAAUUCUCAAGCCCUUUCAACAAACGUGAGCGUUAAGUGAUUGAUUGUGCCGAACCAGUAAACCCUAAACUCUAAACCUAGUUGGAUUGUUUAGUAUUAGUAAUAAUUCAGUUGAUAAAUUAUAUUUUAAUUAAAGAAUUGAACUUUUUUUGUUUAAAACAAAUUUUAUAUGAAGUUGGAGAAAUAUUUAAGCAUAAAGAUAAACCACUUUAAAAUAAAUAUUAUUAUAUUAUAUUUAUUGUAUAUAUAUACAUUGGAUAUAUGUCAAAAUAAAAUUUAGUAAGAGUUCCAAAAACUUACUUAAAUAGUGAUUUUUCUAUUAUACUUCACAAAAAACUUUCUAAGAUGCAACUACUUUUUUUUGUAUAAUAAAUUUGUUUUUAUAGUAUUUAUAUUGUAAGUGAUUAUAAUCCAAUUGUACUCUUUUAUACUUUGGAGUGUUAGAGUAUAAGUUUCAUUUACAAAAUAUGUACAUGAUUGUGUUUAUAUAAAAAAAAUUAUAUAAUUUUUUCAUUAUAUUAAAGAAUAAACUAAGAAGUGUUUAGGGGAGUUUAUAUGAGUUAUAAAAAUGUUUAAAAAUUAUAAAUACAAAAUUAAUUUAAAUACAUAACAACUGAAAAAUGAGAGAUAUGUAAAAUUCUUUAUAUCCAUUGCAGAAUUAUGAGAAAAUAGAGUAUGUAGUCAAAAUACCAUGCUAAAGGCAAAUCUCAUAAUAAGUAUUUAGAGCUACAAUAUAAAGAUGGUGUGAGUGCAAGGGAAUUUACCUUGCAGUUUUUGGAAUUUAGAUAUGUAAGGCCCAAUCCUUGCAUCCACACUCGUUUGUAGAAGACCUCACCAAAGUAAAUUCAGCUGUACACUUGGAACUGUGUCUCUUUGGUCUAAAUGAAUCAAACCGAUAAUGCAAUGAAACUUAUCUAGAGAUACAUACGUAUCCAUUAUUAUAUAUAUACGUGGCGGAAGUAAUCAAAUUGUGACCCACAAGUGUCAGUCAGGAGUUUGCUUCUAAAGUCCCCGGUAGGUCUUUUUUUUGUUAUUCCUCGUUUUUGUGCUCCAUUCGUCUCAAUGGAAGAUAGACAGGCCGCGGCUUUGCGCAGGUUACAGGUGCUCUCGCCGGGAUUCCUCCCCGACGUUGGUCUGUCGGGUGGAAGUCUGAGACAAGCUCCCUGCUCUUCCUCUCCAUCCAAGCAGGAAGAUAGCAGCGAUCUUGUCUCCGUGCCGCCGCAUUUGUUUCGGGACGCUCCAGUCUCGUCAAGAAGUCAGGUAAGCUGCCGAGAGGCACAAAGAACAACUUGAAAAGCCUGUGGAUCGAUCUGUGUAGUAUGAAUCACUUUACUCCCAAUCCCUGGGAGAUCCCGACGGGUUUUGGGGAGGAGAAGCGAAGUGUUUGUUUUGGAAGAAUCCAUGGGACGCUGACCGUCCCGUCUGUGCUUACAACUUCGACAAACGCAAAGGGCCCAUCUUUGUGGAGGUAUUGCGGGACUCUUUUCUCUUUUCGUUUCUCUGCGGCCUUAGUGCUGAUGAAAUGCAGUGGUUCCGAGGAGGCUAUACGAAUGUUUGCUACAACGCCAUCGAUCGACACGUUGACUCUGGAAGAGGAAACCAGGUCGCUGUUUUGUGGGAGGGAAACGAUCCCAGAUUCAAUGCCCGCAUCACUUACAGUGAAUUGCUUAGAUACGUUUGUCAGGUUCGCGAAAAGAUUUGUGUUUUUUCACUCUUGCUCGAUGAUUUUUUUUUUCUACCAGGUUGCAAACUUGCUGCGCUCGCGAGGAGUAAAGAAAGGUGACCGGGUCUGCAUUUAUAUGCCCAUGAUCUUGGAACUUCCCGUGGCGAUGCUCGCCUGUGCUCGCAUUGGUGCUAUUCAUUCCGUAAGUCACAGGUGUUGUCCUUCUUGUUUGUUCUGUCCUUGUCUUUUCAUAUGGAUCGUCAAAAAAAUGCUUGCUUUCUCCUGCUUCAGGUUGUCUUUGCUGGAUUCUCCGCCGAGGCGCUUUCAGGCCGAAUCCUUGACUGCCAGUCGCAAGUAGUGCUAACUUGCUCGGCGGUUCGAAGAGGAGACAAGAUGCUCCUACUCAAGGAAAUAGUGGACGAAGCUUUGCAGCUGUGCUCGCAAAGAUCAGGAUUCUCCGUUGGUACGUUGAUCCUUUCUCUUUCGAUUACAAAAGCGAAACGUCCUGUUCUACAGAGACGUGCGUAGUCUAUGAUAACGAGACUGCAGUACCGCGCAAGAAUGUAGCUUGGCAAGCUCGAGACAUUUGGUGGCAGGUACUAAAAACCACCAUCGUUUUUUAAGAAAACUUCUCCCUCGAAUCCAAACAGGACGCGGUGAGGGAGUGUAGCACAAGUGCAGAAGUAGAAUGGAUGGAAUCAGAGGAGCCAUUGUUUAUGCUCUACACAAGUGGUUCUACAGGAAAGCCAAAGGUAAGAAAGUGUGUGAUUUUUCUUUUCUCACACCAUUCUAAAUGCCUCGAAACAAAACCAGGGUGUUCUUCACACUGUUGGAGGCUAUAUGGUGUACGCUUCCACGACUUUCAAGUACUGCUUUGCUCCGCGCAAGGAAGAUAUUUUCUGGUGAUUUUUCUCGUCAUGGUUCCACCAGCGCGACAACUCCUCUAAGAACUUCUUCGCAGGUGUACUGCCGACUGUGGAUGGAUAACGGGCCACACAUACGUCGUGUAUGGGCCCUUGCUGAAUGGUACAACCUCUCUAGUCUACGAAGGGGUAUUUAGUCCUUGCUUUCUCUUUUAGACUUUUUUCUCAACCUUUUUCUUUUUUUCCUGUGAUUCAAGGUCCCGGCCUGGCCUCAUCCGGGUCGCUGCUGGGAAAUAGUAGACAAGUACAAAGUCACCGCAUUCUAUACCGCACCGACGCUCAUUCGAUCCUUGCAGGCGUACGAUAAAGAGGUAAAGCACUUGCAUCUCACCUAUUAGUGAUUCCUGACUUUGCGUCUCGUGUCAGCAUGUCAAGAAAUUCUCGCGGUCCAGCCUUCGGCUGCUAGCCACGGCCGGAGAGCCAAUCAAUCCAAAAGCUUGGAACUGGUACUUCGACGUGGUUGGCGAUAGAAGAUGUCCGAUCUUAGAUACAUGGUGGCAAACGGAGACCGGCGGAGUUAUGCUCACGCCUCUACCCGGUGCGUGGCCUUUGAAACCAGGAUCGGCAACUCUUCCUUUCUUUGGAGUGGAGGUAAAGUUCUUCGAGUAGUGUGAUCUUCGAGCUAAAAUACUAAGUUUCUUGUUUCUGUUCUUCCUUGAUGCAGCCAGUAGUUUUGGAUCAACAAGGCAAGGAGCUGAAGGGCCCUUGCGAGGGCUACCUGUGUAUACGGCAUCCCUGGCCAGGAAUCGCCCGGACGAUUUACGGUGACCACAAGAGAUACGAAGAGACGUACUUUAGCACCUGGCUGAGUUACUACAACACCGGAGACGGGUGCCGGCGUGAUGAAAAUGGCUACAUUACUAUCACGGGACGCGUCGAUGAUGUUAUCAAUGUCAGGUAAUCGGAUUCUACGCGAGAGCUUUCGCUAAGAUAUGUAUGUGAUGUUUUUUUUGUUCGGAUUUCUAUCAGUGGUCACAGAAUAAGUACCUCAGAGGUGGAAGCUGCUCUGGCUUCUCAUCCCGGAUGUGCUGAAGUUGCUGUGGUGGGAUUUCCACACGAGGUGAGAUGCCACGGCAAUCGAGCGAGAAUUGUUUAUCAGAUUGCUUUUGUUGCAGGUGAAGGGAGAGGGAAUCUACGCCUAUAUCAUCCAGAUGGACGGGCAUACAGACAGAGGGGAGCUGAUCAAGGCCUUGAAAGUUCUAGCCAGAAAAGAGGUAUACUUUUUAGUCUACUCUGAUGAAAGUUUCGAUUUUGUCCUUCCGUUGCUCUGUAGAUUGGAGGAUUUGCUGUUCCGGACGUGCUACAUUUCGUUCCGGGACUCCCCAAGACGCGAAGUGGGAAAGUCAUGCGAAACAUUCUUCGUAAAAUCGCCUCGAACAGAACUGACCUGGUAUGUAAACAAUGCAUUGAGGUAGAUCAUAUGAGUUUUCGUUCGUUUUUGCCGCAGGGCGACACAAGUACGCUGGCCGACCCGGCUGUAGUUUCAAAGAUCAUUAGCUCCAAGAUGUAAAACAAAGAACACCAAUGUAAAGUGAUACCAUUUUCCAUCCAUUUGUUUGUGAUAAGGAACUUAUCUUCGCCAAAACAGGAUUUUGAAGCGUCGUAGGGCUCUUGCACAGUGGAACGAGGUAAAACUCCGAACUUCUUCUCGCAAUGCUCCAAUCUUCGCGGUCCCAGCCAUGGAUUUAGCUGUGGCGCCAUCGACAAACUCGAAACCCAGCGAGCUUCCACAGUCACGAGAAAAGAAAACAACAGUGGCAGGAAAAUCCAUCUCCAGUUUCCUAGUAGCACUCAGGGAAUGCUCCAAUGCGAGGGACUUGAGAAGUGGAAAAAAUCUCCAUGUCGAGGCGAUCAACAAAGGCUGGAGCUCGACCACUUACGUAUCAAACAGCCUUGUCAACAUGUACGCAAAGUGUGGAAGCUUGGCCGAUGCUCGCGAGGUGUUCGACAAGAUGCAAACUCGCAGUGUGGUCUCUUGGAACUCCCUGGUGCUGGGAUACGUCGACAAUGGCGAGCCAAGAGUGGCGCUGGAGCUCUUUGAAAAGAUGCUAGCGGGGAGGAGAUGCGAGCCAAGCGCACUGACUUUCAUGGCGGCGCUCAAAGCUUGCGCGGCUAUGGCGGCCAGCGAGCACAGCCACAGGGUGGAAGGGAAGUCUCUCAAGCUUCGGUGCUUGGAGAUUGGCAUGGUGGUGUACUCUCGAGCCGCCAUGGCCGGUUUCGACACAGACAUCCUCGUCGCCACCACGCUCGUCAACAUGUUUGCAAAGUGUGGGAGCUUGGACGACGCUCGGAGGAUCUUCGACGCCAUGCCGAACCACAGCGUCGUCUCCUGGAACGCCAUGCUGCUUGGCUGCGUCGAGAAUGGUCGCGCGAAGCUGGCGCUUGAUUUGUUCUCCAGGAUGCUGCAAACCAAGACUCUCGCGAACUCGAGGACUUUCGUCGCCGCUUUCAAGGCUUGUGCUGCUCUAGCCGACGAAGAACAGGGCCGGGAACUCGAUGAUCGCAGUGGGAAGAUACUCAAGCUAAAGUCGCUGGAGACAGCCAUGGCGCUCCACCUGCUCGCCGCAAGCUCCCGCGCCUGCGACCUCUCCGCCAACUUGUUCGUGGUGAGCGGCUUGGUCGACAUGUACGCGAAGUCUGGCUGCAUGGAUCUCGCGCGCCGCCAGUUCGAUGCCUUCCAAGCUCGUCACGACGUGGUGUCAACCACGGCCUUGCUACUGGGAUACGCCGAGAACGGCGAGGAGGAGAGAGCGCUGGAUCUCUUCUCCAAACUCCCGGGAGACGUGGAGCCAGGCACGCCAACUUUCGUGGCGGCGAUCAAGGCGUGUACCGGCAUGGCGGCGAGGGAGGAGCCCCGGCAGCUCGGCAAGCUCGCGAUCAAAGCUCGGUCUCUCGAAACCGGCAUGGCGAUCCAUGCUCGACUGAUCGCCUCGCGGUUGCUCGAUCUGGACAAGUUCGCGGCGAGCAGCCUCGUGGACAUGUACGCGAAGUGUGGCAGCGCGCUCGACUCAGGGCGCGCUUUCGCCGCGAUCGAGCUUCCGGACACCGUCGCGUGGAACGCGCUCAUCCUCAGCUACGCGGACACCGGCGAGGAAUCCCUGGCGCUCGAAUCCCUCGCGCGGAUGGAGCUCGCCGCCGCGGAUCGCUGCUCGUGCCGCCCGGAUUCCAGGACCUACGCCGCCGCGCUCAAGGCCUGCGGCAAUCUGGCCUCGCUCGCGCAAUGCCGGAGGAUCCACUCGGCGCUUCUCCGGCGCGGCUUUCGCGAAGAACACGACGAGGUCCUCGCGAAUUGCCUGGUGGACGUGUACGGCAGGUGUGGCGGCAUGAGCGACGCGCGCCGGGUGUUUGACUCUAUGCCCGCCGCCGGUCUGGUGACGUGGAACACGCUCCUGGCUGGCUACGGCCGACAGGGGGACACCGACAUGGUGUUCCGGAGCUUGCGGAGCAUGUCGCGCGAGGGCGGGCACGCCGACACGGUGACGCUCACGUCGCUCCUGGCGGCGUGCAGCCACGCGGGGCUGGUGGGCAAGGCUCGCCAGAUCUUUGGAGCGAUCGCGACUGGCGGGGGAAACCAUGAUGGAGUGUUUAGCAGGAUCUCUCCGGAGAUCGGGCACUACCACGCGAUGAUCGACAUGCUGGGCAGGGCGAACGAGCUCGAGGAGGCGGCGGCGAUGGUGGCGGCGAUGCCAUUCCAGCCCAGCGCCGUGACGUGGAUGAUCCUGCUCAACGCGUGCGCGAAGUGGCGGAACGUCACGGUGGGGCGGCGGGCGUUUGAGUCGCUGGUACCGCUCGGUGGCGCCGCCGCCGCCGCCGCCGCGCACGUGCUAAUGUCCAACAUCUACGAGAGCGAGCCUCCUCUUGACACGUGGCAGCCCCAGCAGCUGCCAAGUGUUCUAGGGGUUAGUCGGACGUGGCCUUUAAAUAUCUGCCACGUCAUGGACACUUUGCCCUAAAAGCUCUGAUUCGUUUGCUGCCACCAUAUCGCCCCAGGGAGCACUAGCAAAAGGGACAACUCGUACCCAUUCGGAUUGUCACUUCACCGUCUCUUAAAUCUCUGCUCUCUUUUUCUCCCCUCUCUCUAUCUCUCUCUCUCUCCUCCAGAUCAACUUGCACUUCAUCUUUGGUUUCUACUCUAUGAUCAUUUUUGUGUGUGGGCGAAGAUCUUUGGUGCCGAAAGAGACAACGGGACCCCGCCUCUCGCCCCAGCGCAUUUCCACGCGAGUCGAUUACCUGGGCACCACACGUUGUUGAAAUCGACCAUUUGUAUGUAAGUCCUCCAUGCUACGCGGAAUCGGUCUUGAGGCGAACGCAGCCCACAUUUUACAAUGCAGUUGAGGAUAACGGGAAAUCAACUCCACACCUUUUCUAGAGCCCUGGUUUUUGCAAGAAAGAUCCAAGUUUUUGACGAUGAAAAACACGGAAACUGCGUGACUUUAAGUUUUUCAAUCGCAUUGUAUCACCGCAAGACUAUAAAUAGCAUAUAGAUAGAUCGAUAAAUAGUAUAUCGUGGUUACAUUCAUUCAAUCAUUUGAAGUGCUCGCGUACACCCAAACCCUUCGCACUAGUACUGCCCGACGAUCUUUGCUGCGCCUAUAAUUCUCUAUACUUCUAUAUAUUUCUUUUCUUUUUUGUGGGCUAUAGAAUUUCACACAUUGUUGCUAUACUAUUCUACUCCUUGUAUCAGAUCUUCCAUACAAGGGAUAAUCCGAAAAGAGAUAACAAUUCCUUGGAGAAGAUUCAAUGAAACUAUAUUAAAGUUUUGAGACCAAUCUUUGUUCGUCAUUGUCGUCAUCUCGGCUAUAUCAUGGCUGGAAGAACGCAUACAUAUAACCAGAGGAAAAACACGGAAACAGAAAUUCGAAGUAAAGAACGAGGAAAGGAAAAAAGAAAAAACGCAAGAGAGACAAACUUCCGCUAGAGCCUGGCUAAAGAUCGCCGAGAAAUCGGUGAUUGAUUUUUAUCAAUCCAACUCGGAAUCCAUGUCGAUGGUGCUGCCGGUGCUGGCGGUGGUGGACAGGAAAGUGGUGGUGGCGGAGGAGUCGCCGCUGGGGCUGGAUUCCAGCGGCGGCGAUGGCUCCUCCUCAGUCUCGGCCUCCUCUAGCUCCUGAUCGGUCUCGCCGCCCAAUUCGUCGUCCGAAUCGUGGCGGAGCAUUUGGAGGACGAGCCUCCCCUGGCUGCGGAUGGGCUGGAAGAGCAUGAGCUGCGCGCCGUGCGCCGCCUUGAUCUCGUGGAGCACCACGCGAUUGUUGCUGCGAUUGGCCGAGAGGAGCGUCCACGGCACCUGGAGCGGCAGAUGGUUGUAGCUCGUGCGCGCCAGCGAUGGCAUCGGCGGCGGGAAUUCCCCCUUUCUGAAGCGGUGGGGGUGCUGAUCGUCCUCCGCGCUGCUCUUCUCCAUUUGGGGCAGCUGGAUCACCGAAUCGACCAUCACGGGACCUCUCAUUCUUGCCUCCUUUUCUUUUUCUCCUCCCUCGCUAGCUGGAUCGAUCAGACGAUCCGGGCGCGCGGCGCGACUGGAUUGGAUUUCAAUCGGUUAAAAAACAGAGGAAGAUAGAGGAGCGCCAGGCCAGAGGGGAUCCCAGAAUCGAUCCAAUCGCGCAAAGGGAAUCCAAUCCAAUAGACUGGGAACUGUGAUGGGCGCUACUACUGCAUUGAUCGCUCACGCUCUUGGGUGAAAGACACAGGAAGAAAACUAAGUGGACUACCUAGUAGCAUAUGACUGGUGGUAUAUAUAGGAAUAUCCCCCCGGCGGCUAGGGCUUUGCUUUCACUCUCCCUAUAAUUCAAACCAAGAGAAUCAGUGUCAGGGCCAAAACUAGCAUGCUUCAUGACAACACGAAACCAUGUAUCAUAGCCUAAUUCUUCUAACGGAUUUUCC
RNAcentral lists this long non-coding RNA (37065 nucleotides) under Selaginella moellendorffii. RNAcentral describes it as "long non-coding RNA (SMOE_LNC000820)". The record is from RNAcentral. Lineage: Eukaryota; Viridiplantae; Streptophyta; Lycopodiopsida; Selaginellales; Selaginellaceae.